RNAcentral lists this ribosomal RNA (468 nucleotides) under uncultured bacterium. RNAcentral's name for it is "partial 16S ribosomal RNA". It matches the Rfam family "Bacterial small subunit ribosomal RNA", at positions 28 to 507 of the family's 1533-position model. The record is from RNAcentral.
GACGAACGCUGGCGGCGUGCUUAACACAUGCAAGUCGAACGGAAAGGCCCUGCUUUUGUGGGGUGCUCGAGUGGCGAACGGGUGAGUAACACGUGAGUAACCUGCCCUUGACUUUGGGAUAACUUCAGGAAACUGGGGCUAAUACCGGAUAGGAGCUCCUGCUGCAUGGUGGGGGUUGGAAAGUUUCGGCGGUUGGGGAUGGACUCGCGGCUUAUCAGCUUGUUGGUGGGGUAGUGGCUUACCAAGGCUUUGACGGGUAGCCGGCCUGAGAGGGUGACCGGGGAGAUUGGGACUGAGGUAGAGCCCAGACUCCUGCGGGAGGCAGUAGUGGGGAAGAUGGCGGAGGGGGCGGACGCCUGAUGCAGCAACGCCGCGUGCGGGAUGACGGGCUUCGGGUUGUAAACCGCUGUCGACUGAGACGAAGAGUGAGUGACGGUACGGGGUAAAGAAGCACCGGCUAACUACGUG